This 787-nucleotide ribosomal RNA is filed under the name uncultured bacterium. Its description in RNAcentral is "bacterial SSU rRNA". It matches the Rfam family "Bacterial small subunit ribosomal RNA", at positions 557 to 1343 of the family's 1533-position model. The record is from RNAcentral.
GGCGUAAAGGGAGCGUACGUGGCUCGAUAAGUCAGAUGUGAAAUCCCCGGGCUCAACCUGGGAACUGCAUCUGAUACUGUUGAGCUAGAGUAUGUGAGAGGAAGGUAGAAUUCCAGGUGUAGCGGUGAAAUGCGUAGAGAUCUGGAGGAAUACCGAUGGCGAAGGCAGCCUUCUGGCAUAAUACUGACACUGAGGCUCGAAAGCGUGGGUAGCAAACAGGAUUAGAUACCCUGGUAGUCCACGCCGUAAACGAUGUCUACUAGUCGUUGGGUCCCUUGAGGACUUAGUGACGCAGCUAACGCAAUAAGUAGACCGCCUGGGGAGUACGGCCGCAAGGUUAAAACUCAAAUGAAUUGACGGGGGCCCGCACAAGCGGUGGAGCAUGUGGUUUAAUUCGAUGCAACGCGAAGAACCUUACCUGGUCUUGACAUAUCUAGAAUCCUGCAGAGAUGCGGGAGUGCCUUCGGGAAUUAGAAUACAGGUGCUGCAUGGCUGUCGUCAGCUCGUGUCGUGAGAUGUUGGGUUAAGUCCCGCAACGAGCGCAACCCUUGUCCUUAGUUACCAGCGGGUUAAGCCGGGAACUCUAAGGAUACUGCCAGUGACAAACUGGAGGAAGGCGGGGACGACGUCAAGUCAUCAUGGCCCUUACGACCAGGGCUACACACGUGCUACAAUGGUAGGUACAGGGGGCAGCUACACAGCGAUGUGAUGCGAAUCUCAAAAAGCCUAUCGUAGUCCAGAUUGGAGUCUGCAACUCGACUCCAUGAAGUAGGAAUCGCUAGUAAUC